RNAcentral lists this long non-coding RNA (1268 nucleotides) under Helianthus annuus (common sunflower). Its description in RNAcentral is "hypothetical non coding rna". Lineage: Eukaryota; Viridiplantae; Streptophyta; Magnoliopsida; Asterales; Asteraceae. The record is from RNAcentral.
GGAUCGAUCAGAGCAAAGGGGGGAGAAGACAAACCCUAACUUCAUGAAAUUCUCAAGAAUUGAAAGAGAUUAGGAGCCCAAACUAAUGCAUGAACUCGAAACCUCAAUCAUCUAAGCUUGUACAACAAGCGGAACGUGUCAAGGAGAGGUCAAGCAUAGGAGGAUAACGGGUCAAGAUAAGGCAAGAUGACAAAUACACUUAUUGGAGUACUCGAGGUAAGUGAAUUUCGAUUCACUUUUUAGUAGGUUUAAUAGAUUUUAAUACUUAUGUUUACGAAACAUCAUGAAAGAACAUGUAAUAAUCAGAAGUACAAAGCCAAUAAUGCCUCAUUAUUGAAGAAGGUUGUAUUUAAGCCGAAAGUAAAUUGGUGGGUUUAAACGGGUCGAAUUUUAUGUGCAUAUGUUGCGUAAUGAAAUGAAAUUCGUUAUGGUUAAGACCUUGGGUAAGAAUUUUAGUCAUUAUGUAAGGGGAACAUUUCCCGGACCAUUAGGUACAAGUUUUAUAUGAUUCGGUUGUCGGUCAAUGAAUGAACGGAUUGUUUCGUUUUAGUGUAGGAAAUUUUAUAAGUAUAUGUGUAUAGGAAUCCAAAGGCCACGUGGGUUGAAUCGUAGAUUGUCUAUACUAUGUAAAGUUUUGAAUGUGACAUUCCGACAUAAACCUACAUGUAAAAGAAGCUUGUGUAUAUAUUCGUGAUUAAUUGAUUGUGCGAAGGAAGGAACAUUGGCAUGAAUGAAGGUACGCACAUAUAUAUAUAAGUGUAUAUAUAUAUAUAUAUGUAUGUAUGUAUGAUAAUAAGUACGUAGGUGUGAAUGUAUGUGUGAAUGAAUGUUCAAUGCUUAAGACAUAUGCAUGAACGUAUCAAAGGGUUCGAGUAUUUAUGGAUACUAAUGAUGUGCGUUGAGUUGGAAUGUAAUGUAGGUAUGGGGUCGUUGGCUUCAUGAAGAAAUGGAGCUGGAUUUGGAUAAGAGUAUUUAAGAAAGCGCUUGGACAAUUCCACGACUACUUUAUAGAAUGCUCUACGAAAUUUUAUUAUAUAGUUUAAUGUUGAAUGGUAUGUUAAUAACUAAUGGUUUGGUUGUACGUGGUGUCCACAGGUAUCGCUUGGGUUUUCUCUACUUUUAUUGAAGUGAAGCGGACUUAGUUCGAGUUGAGAGCAAGGAUUGUACGGGGUAGAAUGGUCACAUAGUGUAACUCAUAUAGGUUUUGAAGUAUUAAUGUUAUAAAACGUUAUAAAUCCGUUUUAAUGAAUAUAUGGAAUUUCGCAUUU